This 468-nucleotide ribosomal RNA is filed under the name uncultured bacterium. RNAcentral's name for it is "partial 16S ribosomal RNA". It matches the Rfam family "Bacterial small subunit ribosomal RNA", at positions 28 to 507 of the family's 1533-position model. The record is from RNAcentral.
GACGAACGCUGGCGGCGUGCUUAACACAUGCAAGUCGAACGGAAAGGCCCUGCUUUUGUGGGGUGCUCGAGUGGCGAACGGGUGAGUAACACGUGAGUAACCUGCCCUUGACUUUGGGAUAACUGCAGGAAACUGGGGCUAAUACCGGAUAGGAGCUCCUGCUGCAUGGUGGGGGUUGGAAAGUUUCGGCGGUUGGGGAUGGACUCGCGGCUUAUCAGCUGGUUGGUGGGGUAGUGGCUUACCAAGGCUUUGACGGGUAGCCGGCCUGAGAGGGUGACCGGCCACAUUGGGACUGAGAUACGGCCCAGACUCCUACGGGAGGCAGCAGUGGGGAAUAUUGCACAAUGGGCGGAAGCCUGAUGCAGCAGCGCCGCGUGCGGGAUGACGGCCUUCGGGUUGUAAACCGCUUUCGCCUGUGACGAAGCGUGAGUGACGGUAAUGGGUAAAGAAGCACCGGCUAACUACGUG